GAUGAACGCUGGCGGCGUGCCUAAUACAUGCAAGUCGAGCGAACAGAUGAGGAGCUUGCUCCUCUGACGUUAGCGGCGGACGGGUGAGUAACACGUGGAUAACCUACCUAUAAGACUGGGAUAACUUCGGGAAACCGGAGCUAAUACCGGAUAAUAUAUUGAACCGCAUGGUUCAAUAGUGAAAGACGGUUUUGCUGUCACUUAUAGAUGGAUCCGCGCCGCAUUAGCUAGUUGGGAAGGUAACGGCUUACCAAGGCAACGAUGCGUAGCCGACCUGAGAGGGUGAUCGGCCACACUGGAACUGAGACACGGUCCAGACUCCUACGGGAGGCAGCAGUAGGGAAUCUUCCGCAAUGGGCGAAAGCCUGACGGAGCAACGCCGCGUGAGUGAUGAAGGUCUUCGGAUCGUAAAACUCUGUUAUUAGGGAAGAACAAAUGUGUAAGUAACUAUGCACGUCUUGACGGUACCUAAUCAGAAAGCCACGGCUAACUACGUG
This 497-nucleotide ribosomal RNA is filed under the name uncultured bacterium. Its description in RNAcentral is "partial 16S ribosomal RNA". It matches the Rfam family "Bacterial small subunit ribosomal RNA", at positions 28 to 507 of the family's 1533-position model. The record is from RNAcentral.